CCCAUUUAUUUUCAUCUCUCAUCACUUUCACAUCUGUGAUUUUCUUCCUUCCUCCCAAGAACGGGAGGCGUUUUCUCCUGCCAUUAAGGAGAGGUGGUUACUAGGGCCUGAGUCAGGCGUUUCCAGCUUGCUUCUGGAGCUUGACCAGUUUCCCAUCUCCACAGCACUUAGGAGAAACUGGAAGCUGGCAUUGCCCCAUGUGAGCCCCCAUGCUAAGUCACCUGGCCGGCUGGUGCCACCUUUGCAAAAACAAACACACAAAACAGAGACUGAAAGUACAACCAGAACAAACAAGCCUUUGGUGUUUAGUUGUGAAGGAAGAGCAACUGGGGCCAAAAGAAGUCACAAGGAAUGGAAGAAAGAGAGAUAUCUGCUGGGUGCAGGGAGGAUGGAAGAGGAAGGCCAGGCACAUAACGAGCCAUCACUCAUCACCUCUUCUGAGUCCACUGUACCCACUUGACCAAGGGAACCUUUGUGCCACCUGAUGGAGGAGAAGACAUACAUCACAACAGAGCCCAGAGCACUCUCAUUACAUCUUCCUGCAGAUCUUAAUUAAUGGAAAAGUGCCAUGGAAACACAGUGCGGCAUCCUAAUGGGCCUCUCC
This is a long non-coding RNA of Heterocephalus glaber (naked mole-rat), 604 nucleotides long. NCBI's taxonomy places the organism in Eukaryota, Metazoa, Chordata, Mammalia, Rodentia, Bathyergidae. The record is from Ensembl.